Molecule: ribosomal RNA, 468 nt
Filed under: uncultured bacterium
Lineage: Bacteria
Description: partial 16S ribosomal RNA
Rfam family: Bacterial small subunit ribosomal RNA
Source: RNAcentral
GACGAACGCUGGCGGCGUGCUUAACACAUGCAAGUCGAACGGAAAGGCCCUGCUUUUGUGGGGUGCUCGAGUGGCGAACGGGUGAGUAACACGUGUGUAACCUGCCCUUGACUUUGGGAUAACUUCAGGAAACUGGGGCUAAUACCCGAUAGGAGCUCCUGCUGCAUGGUGGGGGUUGGAAAGUUUCGGCGGUUGGGGAUGGACUCGCGGCUUAUCAGUUUGUUGGUGGGGUAGUGGCUUACCAAGGCUUCGACGGGUAGCCGGCCUGAGAGGGUGACCGGCCACAUUGGGACUGAGAUAGGGCCCAGAGUCCUACGGGAGGCAGCAGGGGGAAAUAUUGCACAAUGGGCGGAAGCCUGAUGCAGCAACGCCGCGUGCGGGAUGACGGUCUUCGGGUUGUAAACAGCUUUCGCCUGUGACGAAGCGUGAGUGACGGUAAUGGGUAAAGAAGCACCGGCUAACUACGUG